RNAcentral lists this long non-coding RNA (646 nucleotides) under Nicotiana benthamiana. Its description in RNAcentral is "long non-coding RNA (NBEN_LNC022160)". The record is from RNAcentral. Lineage: Eukaryota; Viridiplantae; Streptophyta; Magnoliopsida; Solanales; Solanaceae.
GCAUCAUAGAAUUGAACCAGAUUCCUAUGUCCUGUUAAAGCACGCAAUAUUUUGACUUCUCUCCUUACGUCCUCAAUUGCAAUUGCUGUGGUCAUCUGCAAAAGAUUCCUCCGUCUCAUUAAAAUGAAAGAACAAAUACAAUAAGGGUCAAUACUGCUUUUGGCGUGCAACAUUCCUCAGUCUCAUUAAAAUGAAAGAACAAAUACAAUAAGGGUCAAUACUGCUUUUGGCGUGCAAAUAACAGGAUAACAUCAUGUAAACACAGUUGACAAGAAAAUGAUUGGAAUCAUCUUCCACCUAAUGCUUUGCUUCAACUUUUAUAUUUAAAAAUAGACAAAACCCUCAAAAUUUUCAGAUACUAGAAACAUCAUCUAGCUAUUAGUCAACCUUUUCUUUUCUUGAUAGGUAACAAACUAUACAACAUAAAAUCCCACUUGCCAUCCUUCUCAACCAUUUCCGGAACAAACACUUGCCGAAACAAUGAGAACAUCCGACUAUUACUAUAUUUCUGCAAAAACACCGUAGCUCAUUCAAAGUCACCAAACACUUUGCACCUCAAAGCACUUACAACCGAUGACAUCUCGACCAGUUAAUAUUACAAUCAGCAGCAAUGACAAAUGAAGACUUCAACAAGAUUUAGCAAUCA